GCCGCAUUCUCAAGGUGUGUGAAUUGUGAAGCGUCAAGAUGGUUGCUCAUGAUUUCACUGUUGAUUUAGACAAGCCUCUCGUUUUUCAGGUUGGGCAUCUUGGGGAAUCAUACCAGGAAUGGAUUCACCAGCCUAUAGUAUGCAAGGAAGGCCCUCGCUUCUUUGGCAACGAGAUCCUUGAGUUCCUGACCCGAACAGUCUGGUGGGCGG
Molecule: unclassified non-coding RNA, 210 nt
Filed under: Hevea brasiliensis (rubber tree)
Lineage: Eukaryota; Viridiplantae; Streptophyta; Magnoliopsida; Malpighiales; Euphorbiaceae
Source: RNAcentral